Molecule: ribosomal RNA, 216 nt
Filed under: Glomeromycotina sp.
Lineage: Eukaryota; Fungi; Glomeromycota
Description: partial small subunit ribosomal RNA
Rfam family: Eukaryotic small subunit ribosomal RNA (bases 40-216)
Source: RNAcentral
GGGUCAGUAGGUUGGUCGUGCCACCGGUACGUACUGGUCUCACUGAUUCCUCCUUCCUGAGGAACCGUAAUGCCAUUAAUUUGGUGUUGCGGGGGAACAGGACUGUUACUUUGAAAAAAUUAGAGUGUUUAAAGCAAGCUAACGCUUGAAUACAUUAGCAUGGAAUAAUGAAAUAGGACGAUCGAUCCUAUUUUGUUGGUUUCUAGGAUUGACGUA